UUUUUACAUUUAUUUGAUAUAUAGUAUAUACAUGAUAAAUGUUUAAAAACGGCAUGAGUGUGAAUAACUUCUGGUUAAAAUAACCAUGAGUGGCUCUGGUUAUUUUAACCAGAUUAUGUGAUAUAAAAUAACCAGAAAGUUUAACUAGGUUAUUAUAAGGUAUCCCAAAUAGUGGCAUGGAUGAGAUAGAGCGUUCUUUUCUAUCUCAUCCAUGUCUAGUAUAAUCGCUCACAAACACAUGCACAAACAUCCAGUCUCCGCUUCUGAUUUCAAAAUUCUAUCAUCAGGCACUUCUGAGUGGGAUCUUUUUAUCCGUGAAAGCUUAUUAAUUUCUCAACUUAACCCUGUCCUUAAUGCUAAUAUUAUAUCUAUACCCUCUUGAGUUAUUUUAGUUAUGUAAUAUUAACUUUAACUAUACUAACCAUGCACUUAACGUUAAUAUUUACUUAUCAACUAGUUACUGCUAAUAUUAGAUCUAUACCCUCUUGAGUUAUUUUAGUUAUGUAAUAUUAACCUUAACUAUACUAACCAU
Molecule: non-coding RNA, 532 nt
Organism: Paramuricea clavata
Lineage: Eukaryota; Metazoa; Cnidaria; Anthozoa; Malacalcyonacea; Plexauridae
Source: the annotation of a GenBank genome assembly